GAUCUCUCAGGCGCCUUCCCCUUUCCGCCGCGGCGCGCGACUUGGUUCAGUGGAGUUCAAGUUGUUGAUGAACUUAAGGUCUGGUGCCUCAAAGAAUCUGUUUUUCAAGUGGAUAAGGAGAGUUUGAGUAUGUGACCAUUGAUAUAUUCAGACUAGAGGUUUUUGCUUUUUUGUCCCUUUUCAGGAUGGUAGCAGGGGUGAAUUUUGAGAUAGUCCCAAUUAUCUAUAGGAGAAUUUAUCUGAGAAUUCUGUGCCUCUGCCCUGUAGCUGAGUUGGCCCCAUAGUGAAUUUCUGUAGAAUUCAAUUCCAUUAUUUAAAGUAGUUUUUCUAUCUACUAGCCCUGGUCUGAAACUUGAUACAGUGCUAACGCCAAAGAGCAAGUCCUUAAUCCUGGUUCAUGUGCUCUACAAAGAUAUGACUAAGUCUAGUUCUGAAAGUGGGAGUUUUAGAACAUAGUAAUUCUAACUAGAUGAUCUAUUUCACAACUAAGACUACUUUAUGAACUGUGCUUUAACUUAUAAAAGUCAUUUUUUGAGUCCCAUUCUUUUGAUUAUUCUGAAAAUAUGUUUUAUAGGAUAGUCAUAAAUAAUUACUGUUGAAUAUAUAUGGCAAUGGUGGGCUUAAUUCUACCUAAGAUUAAAGUAUCUCACUUUUAAAAACUUAGUUUGUGUGCGUGUAUUUUUUGGUAGCUUCUGGGUAGUUUGUGUAUUUCAUAUACUACAGAUUUUUCUGCGCCUGUUCUACGUCUUGAUUGUGGAAGGACUAUGCAUUUGUCAAGUCUCAUACUUAAUAGCUGCACUUUAAAUCUCAUCUGUAGUAUGGCACUUUCCCCUCAGUUUUUUCAUAGUCCAUUCUAGUGGCCACGAGGGAAUGGGGUGUGGAAAUUCUAUUAACCAUUGCUCUGUUAAUGCUCCUGUGGAUUUGUUGCAGCCUUGCUUUCCAUAUUGGCUAUUUUCCAUCCCAAGAAACUUGAGGAUGUCCUUGGCAGAUACUAGCUAGCCAGGAAAUUAGAAAAAUGAGGUUAGAUGCUGAGUAGUUGUGGGUUGAGCUCAAAACAUGAUGCUGUGUAAACCACAUGAUUGACUGAAAGCCAGCCUAUGAAGGUUUUUCCUUGGAAGAUUCAAGGAUGCUUCUGAAUGGAGGGAUAGGUUCAAGUAUUGAGGAGGCAUUGUUAUUUCCUGUAGGUGAUUGGUCUAAACAAAGGGCCUGUUGAGCCCUACCCUGGUGACCAAAGUACUUCUGACAUGGGCUGAGUUGUACCAUCUUGCCUGUAUGGGCAAACAAAGCCCUUCAGAUAUGUCCCCUUAAGGUUCCAGGUUUUAAUGACUCCUUACUGCUCCCCUCAUCACCAAAUCCCCUUCCCUAUGCCCUAGUGAUAACAGAAUUUAUCCAAAACAGUGCCUUGGUUAAGAAGUCUAGCAUCACCAAAGAAAAUGGGGUGAGUUCUGCAGAAUCAACUCCCUCCUUGCUUCAGUGCAAGCCUGCAUGUUCAGCACAGCUAAAGCAGGAACGGAAAGAUGCCAACAUGACUUACACUACCAGACCACUCCUUUGUGCUCAUGUGCCCUGAAGGGGAGUGAAACAAACCUGGAGUUGAAUGAAAUGUUUUCAAAGUGGAACUUACUAAUUCCAAGGGAGGAACUUGGGCAUGAAGAGAAUCUUUAAUUAUGACUAUAAAAGAAAUUGUGAUUUGAAUAUAGUUUUUAUGCUAAUGAUACUAACCUCCCCAGAUAGUGAUGGAACUUGCCCAGUAUAACAAUGGUGCCACUGUUGUAUCAGUUUAGGUAGAUUGAGUCAUACAUAAUUUGAUUUCAAGCCCAUUUUGUCUAAAGAACUCUACAGUGUUCGUAAGUGCUUGAGUACAAGUAGAUUUUUUUCUUACAAGUAAGCAAAUCUUGUUUAAGUGAGUAUGUCAGACUAAAUAAAGUAUUUGUAAUUUUGAGGGUCCUAAAGCCUUAAAUAUUUAAUGAUAUAAUUUGGCAACUAUUUACUGACCUGCCAUAUGUUAAGUCCUGUGAUAGAGAUAAUUCCUAACUUUAUCGAGCCUGCACAGUGUGAUUUAUUCAUUUCAAUAUGUAAGAAGGAGCUGGUUAGACCGUGCACUUCUGUUGUAAGGAAUAAUUUCUCUUAGUGUUUGGGUCAAUAUCUGAAAAAUUCAAUUGUUAGAACAAGCUGUGAAGAGACUAUCAUGUCUCUUUAUACAUGGUAACAUCACCACAUUCCCAAAAUAAUUUGAGGUGGUCUAUAAACAAAUAUCAACCUGCAAUAAUUAGAAUAAGGAAUAAAAGUUCAGCGAGAUGACAGCAAGAAUAAAAACUGAGCCAUCAGGUCUCAUGCUAUAGGGUCUGGCCAAUUUGGCUCUUCCUAA
Molecule: long non-coding RNA, 2368 nt
Organism: Microcebus murinus (gray mouse lemur)
Lineage: Eukaryota; Metazoa; Chordata; Mammalia; Primates; Cheirogaleidae
Source: RefSeq, a predicted model, not a curated record